Molecule: ribosomal RNA, 497 nt
Filed under: uncultured bacterium
Lineage: Bacteria
Description: partial 16S ribosomal RNA
Rfam family: Bacterial small subunit ribosomal RNA
Source: RNAcentral
GAUGAACGCUGGCGGCGUGCCUAAUACAUGCCGGUCGAGCGAACAGACGAGGAGCUUGCUCCUCUGACGUUAGCGGCGGACGGGUGAGUAACACGUGGAUAACCUACCUAUAAGACUGGGAUAACUUCGGGAAACCGGAGCUAAUACCGGAUAAUAUAUUGAACCGCAUGGUUCAAUAGUGAAAGACGGUUUUGCUGUCACUUAUAGAUGGAUCCGCGCCGCAUUAGCUAGUUGGUAAGGUAACGGCUUACCAAGGCAACGAUGCGUAGCCGACCUGAGAGGGUGAUCGGCCACACUGGAACUGAGACACGGUCCAGACUCCUACGGGAGGCAGCAGUAGGGAAUCUUCCGCAAUGGGCGAAAGCCUGACGGAGCAACGCCGCGUGAAUGAUGAAGGUCUUCGGAUCGUAAAACUCUGUUAUUAGGGAAGAACAAAUGUGUAAGUAACUAUGCACGUCUUGACGGUACCUAAUCAGAAAGCCACGGCUAACUACGUG